AUCAAUAUAGCAAAUACGAUUUAGUGCGAAAGAUUUAAAAUCUUUAGGAAGACAUUAGUCUUGUUGAUA
RNAcentral lists this transfer RNA (69 nucleotides) under Coloceras sp. SLC-2005. RNAcentral describes it as "tRNA-Leu". RNAcentral also lists the same sequence under 1 other name. The record is from RNAcentral. Lineage: Eukaryota; Metazoa; Arthropoda; Insecta; Psocodea; Philopteridae.